Molecule: long non-coding RNA, 1964 nt
Organism: Corylus avellana
Lineage: Eukaryota; Viridiplantae; Streptophyta; Magnoliopsida; Fagales; Betulaceae
Source: RefSeq, a predicted model, not a curated record
CCAUUUGUAUACCAUUUUUGGUUCCAGAGAUAUCUCAACUGCCAUGAGUCAGAGAUAGAUGUCGGGCUAGUUGUCAAUCUGGGUUCGAGUUGAAACUGCACACACACACACACAGCACUGUCUCAAUCUGAGGGAUGCAUGAUAUGAUUUGUCUCCCGCCCUGCACGAGUACAAUCAUCUUUCUCUUUCUCAACUUAUUUCUACUUUUUUUGUAAGUUGAUUCAGAUUUCUAAGUCGUAUUAAUUUAAAUGUAGUUUUCAUCAGGUUUGGGCAUUUGGGCAAAACAGGGAUGAUGCCACCUUAUCUUUCAUUUCAGGUUACCUGACCCUCAAUACUGAUUCCAGUGCUAGCAAAUACCAUUUUGAACCAGAAGCACAGGUAUGGGCCUCACUCUCCCAUCCUCAAGUGGCUCUUGUGCUCUUUCUGUUAUGGAUUUGUUGAGAUAACCUCUGCAGAACUCUUUUUGUUUGUUUCUUAUUUUUUAUUUUUUAUGGGGCUAUUAUCCAGUUCAUGUGGGUGGACUUCUUCUUUAGAAGAACCCUUUUCUCCUCCCUUUACUUGGCUGAGAUCUUAAGAACCAACGCAGUAUGUAGAGAUCGUAGCGAUUCUCAUACGUAUCCAGAGUUUUGCUUCACGUUAUGAGAGAUGUCUCUACACUAACUGCCCGUGGCUAAUUGUUAUCUUAUAGUGACCUUAAUAAUAGCCUCCAUAUCAUCAGUGACUGUAACUUAAGUGGCUGGCAUUGUUUCUUGGAUUGUUUGAGGCUUAAAGUUUUUUCUAAUUCGUUCUGUUGAAUGACAAGCCUUUAUUUCCAGGUAAAGUCUGUCUACUAUGGCUUAUGAUUUCACUGAUCUGUUUAACCGAUUUAAUAGACUAGUGAAGCAUCAUGAGAAGAAAAAAAAAUAUCCAACCGUAAGUACACUUUAUGAAUACCUGCUAGCGAUUUCUCAAAACAAAAAUGUAGAUUCAAAUUGUGGGAGGUCCUAUUAUGCAAAAAGGGCCAGUUUUUGGCCAGCAUUACUAUCUAGUAAUAAAGAUAUGAGAAAUCUUGAUGUAACAGUGAAAAUAACCAUUGACGUGAAAUAUACAGAUUAGUAGUACAUGUAGCAUUUCUCUAAAGAUAUUGGCUCUGCUUAGCGGAAGUAAAGUCAAGAUAUAUUGUGUCUGUUUAUUGCUUUUUUUCCUGUUCUUUUUAAAACCAAGUGUAGCUGGUUUCAAACUAGUUGGUUGUCUCAAGAGAAGAUUCUUCAAUAAUCUGGCUAUUGAAUAAUACAUAAAUAUCAGUGUGAAGUAGUGCAGUUGCAGCAGCAUUGCAGAUUAUAGAACAUUGGAAAAUUAAACAAAAAUUCUCUUAUCCAUCAAAAGAACAACUAUCGAUCAACCAUUUGAAGGCGGACGAGUCGGAGACGUAACCUCAAUCCAGAUUUAGAUCAAUACACAAGCUUGUUCACUGCUACCAGGAGCAGUGUAUCGACCUUUGCAAAAUUGUUCAGUUCAAUCCAAAAGAUGAUAAAGGGUGCGAUCCUAAUCGUGGACCAAAGGUCAUCACCUUCACCGCUUUACUCUGCCCUUUUCCGGGAAGUUUCCUAAAAGAAAUUUGAUAGGACGAAGAAGAUGGCCCCCGAUGGCUUUUAUUCUCUCUUUACCUUUCAUUGGUUUUUAACAUCAUCAAGCUCGUUUACCAAACUCAACCAAAUUCUUUUGGGUGGUUGAAACUCUAAUCAAGUCGGAUUGUCCUCUUUUGGUAUUUCAUGCAUACGUGUAAAAGCCUGGAGAUUCGAGGGACACAUUUCUCACUUACGUCUUUCAUGUUACCAAAUGUCGUGUUCAUUCUACUUUAUGACGAACUUUUAUACAUUUUCUUUCUCAGUUUUGUCGAAGAGCCUUGCAUUGUCUUUGUUUCAUAUUGUGAUUAGCGAGAAGAAGCUGAUUUUCACUGACGUAUUCAUUUUUCAAUGAUAGUA